UCAGGAUGAACGCUGGCGGCGUAGCCUAACACAUGCAAGUCGAACGGAGAUUAACGCUGACGAGACUUCGGUCAAAUCUUGUUAAAUCUUAGUGGCGGACGGGUGAGUAACGCGUGGGCAACCUGCCUCAUACCGGGGGAUAGCAGUUGGAAACGACUGAUAAUACCGCAUAAGCGCACGAGAUCGCAUGAUCUAGUGUGAAAAACUCCGGUGGUAUGAGAUGGGCCCGCGUCAGAUUAGCUAGUUGGUAAGGUAACGGCUUACCAAGGCGACGAUCUGUAGCCGGACUGAGAGGUCGGACGGCCACAUUGGGACUGAGACACGGCCCAAACUCCUACGGGAGGCAGCAGUGGGGGAUAUUGCACAAUGGAGGAAACUCUGAUGCAGCGACGCCGCCGUGAGUGAAGAAGUAUUUCGGUAUGUAAAGCUCUAUCAGCAGGGAAGAAAGGCUCGUAAGAGAGAUGACGGUACCUGACUAAGAAGCCCCGGCUAACUACGUGCCAGCCGCCGC
RNAcentral lists this ribosomal RNA (511 nucleotides) under uncultured bacterium. RNAcentral's name for it is "bacterial SSU rRNA". It matches the Rfam family "Bacterial small subunit ribosomal RNA", at positions 24 to 518 of the family's 1533-position model. The record is from RNAcentral.